UAAUACGAAGGGUGCAAGCGUUGUUCGGAUUUAUUGGGCGUAAAGCGCACGUAGGCGGACUUAUAAGUCAGAUGUGAAAUCUCGGGGCUCAACCUCGAAACUGCGUCUGAAACUGCAAGUCUAGAAUCUUGGAGGGGGAAGGGGAAUUUCACAUGUAGGGGUAAAAUCCGUAGAUAUGUGAAGGAACACCAGAGGCGAAGGCGCCUUCCUGGACAAGUAUUGACGCUGAGGUGCGAAAGCGUGGGGAUCAAACAGGAUUAGAUACCCUGGUAGUCCACGCUGUAAACGAUGAACACUAGAUAUUGGAGGAUUUGACCCCUUCAGUGUCGUAGCUAACGCAUUAAGUGUUCCGCCUGGGAAGUACGGUCGCAAGACUAAAACUCAAAGGAAUUGACGGGGGCCCGCACGAGCGGUGGAUUAUGUGGUUUAAUUCGAAGCAACGCGCAGAACCUUACCUAGGCUUGAAAUCCUACGAACCUGGCUUAAACGCUGGGGUGUCCUUC
Molecule: ribosomal RNA, 503 nt
Filed under: uncultured Bacteriovorax sp.
Lineage: Bacteria; Pseudomonadati; Bdellovibrionota; Bacteriovoracia; Bacteriovoracales; Bacteriovoracaceae
Description: bacterial SSU rRNA
Rfam family: Bacterial small subunit ribosomal RNA
Source: RNAcentral